RNAcentral lists this small RNA (307 nucleotides) under Arabidopsis thaliana (thale cress). Its description in RNAcentral is "ATSL055390". Lineage: Eukaryota; Viridiplantae; Streptophyta; Magnoliopsida; Brassicales; Brassicaceae. The record is from RNAcentral.
AUAUUGUUAUAUUUUUUACCUAUCAUUUAUUCAUAAUAUUCCUAAAGAUCUAUGCGUUUAUAUGCUAAGAUCUUCUACCACAUGUAUAAAUAUGAAAACACUAUGUCAAUAAUAAUUAUCAGUUUAGCCAGGUUUCGAUCUUGGGACAUAUGAGUUAUGAGCCCACCACGAUUCCUUUUUCCAAUGUAUCUGCUUUAAUACAACUCAUAUUUGCAACUCACACUCUUGUUAUCGUGUUCAAUAUUGGCAUAAAUACUUCCAUUACAAUUUUUAGAGGUAAAUUAAGUAAAACAAAUUGAAUAAAAAC